Molecule: ribosomal RNA, 427 nt
Filed under: uncultured Bacillus sp.
Lineage: Bacteria; Bacillati; Bacillota; Bacilli; Caryophanales; Bacillaceae
Description: bacterial SSU rRNA
Rfam family: Bacterial small subunit ribosomal RNA
Source: RNAcentral
UAGGGAAUCUUCCGCAAUGGACGAAAGUCUGACGGAGCAACGCCGCGUGAGUGAUGAAGGCUUUCGGGUCGUAAAACUCUGUUGUUAGGGAAGAACAAGUACGAGAGUAACUGCUCGUACCUUGACGGUACCUAACCAGAAAGCCACGGCUAACUACGUGCCAGCAGCCGCGGUAAUACGUAGGUGGCAAGCGUUAUCCGGAAUUAUUGGGCGUAAAGCGCGCGCAGGCGGUUUCUUAAGUCGGAUGUGAAAGCCCACGGCUCAACCGUGGAGGGUCAUUGGAAACUGGGGAACUUGAGUGCAGAAGAGAAAAGCGGAAUUCUACGUGUAGCGGUGAAAUGCGUAGAGAUGUGGAGGAACACCAGUGGCGAAGGCGGCUUUUUGGUCUGUAACUGACGCUGAGGCGCGAAAGCGUGGGGAGCAAACA